Molecule: long non-coding RNA, 744 nt
Filed under: Homo sapiens (human)
Lineage: Eukaryota; Metazoa; Chordata; Mammalia; Primates; Hominidae
Description: HSALNT0085074
Source: RNAcentral
UUCCGGGUCUAGCCACCCAUCGGGGCUACCAGGCUCUGGGUUGGUGCUGGGAAAUGUCUGCAAAGAGUCCUGCGAUGCGAUUCAUCUUCAGGUCUCCCAGCCAUGGAUACCGGCGCCUACUCUGUUGGAGGUGGCAGGGGAGUGAGCCUAGUCCAAAGACGUUUACAUCCUGGAAGAGAACUUGCUGGCUUUUCACCUCAGCAUGUAUGGGCCAAACUAAUAUAACAAGAAGUCUUGAGAGGAGUCAGCGGCCAAGCUCCAUGUCUUGCAGCCAAACAAUGCUGUGGGAUGGAAGGUGGGAUGUCAUGUGUCUGGUUUACAGCACUCACGUAUCAGUUGGCAGUUAACGGAAGUGCUACUGAUUGGUGAUAUGCCUACUCCCCCUUCACCUUCGAUCAUGAUUGUAAACUUCGUGAGGACAUCACCAAAGGCUGACAUUGGCAACAUGCUUCCUGUACAAUCUGCAGAACAACGAUGGAACAAAAUAAACACCUUUUCUUUAUAAAUUACCCGGCUUCAUGUAUUCCUUCAUAACAAUGCAAAGCAGCCUAAUACAAAUUGUCAGUGAGUAGGCAGAUUUUCAGAAUGUAUGGCUAAUUGGAAUUUCCAUGGUCCUAUAUGAGAAGAGAUUUGAAGUAAUUCCAUAGAAUGUUAUGAGCGCCCUGGGAGAAGAAAAAGGGUGAUUUUUCAGAAGGAAAAGAGUGUAAGAAAAACAUGAAAUUCAAUUUUCCAAUGACAGUUCUG